Molecule: ribosomal RNA, 449 nt
Filed under: uncultured prokaryote
Description: bacterial SSU rRNA
Rfam family: Bacterial small subunit ribosomal RNA
Source: RNAcentral
UGGGGAAUAUUGGACAAUGGGCGCAAGCCUGAUCCAGCAAUGCCGCGUGUGUGAAGAAGGCCCGCGGGUUGUAAAGCACUUUCAGCAGGGAAGAAAAACCCCGCGUUAACAGCGCGGGGGUUUGACGUCACCUGCACAAGAAGCACCGGCUAAUUCCGUGCCAGCAGCCGCGGUAAUACGGAAGGUGCAAGCGUUAAUCGGAAUUACUGGGCGUAAAGCGCGCGUAGGCGGUUCGAUAAGUCGGAUGUGAAAUCCCCGGGCUUAACCUGGGAAUUGCAUUCGAUACUGCCGGACUAGAGUACGGUAGAGGGAAACGGAAUUCCGGGUGUAGCGGUGAAAUGCGUAGAUAUCCGGAGGAACACCAGUGGCGAAGGCGGUUUCCUGGCCCGAUACUGACGCUGAGGCGCGAAAGCGUGGGGAGCAAACAGGAUUAGAUACCCCCGUAGUCC